This 693-nucleotide ribosomal RNA is filed under the name uncultured Parcubacteria group bacterium. Its description in RNAcentral is "bacterial SSU rRNA". It matches the Rfam family "Bacterial small subunit ribosomal RNA", at positions 57 to 775 of the family's 1533-position model. The record is from RNAcentral.
GCAAGUCGAACGCGCACCUUCGGGUGCGAGUGGCAAACGGGUGCGUAACACGUUGGUAACCUACCCCAAAGACGGGAAUAACCUUCCGAAAGGAUGGCUAAUACCCGAUGUGCUUAACUCUCUACAAGAGUGGUAAGUAAAACUACGGUGCUUUGGGAGGGGCCUACGGACUAUCAGCUUGUUGGUAAGGUAAUGGCUUACCAAGGCUAUGACGGUUAGCGGGUGUGAGAGCACGACCCGCCUCACCGGGACUGAGACACUGCCCGGACUCCUACGGGAGGCUGCAGUCAAGAAUCUUUCUCAAUGGACGAAAGUCUGAAGAAGCGACGCCGCGUGCAGGAAUAAGCCCUUCGGGGUGUAAACUGCUUUUCUGAAGGAAAAAUUUGUGAUGGUACCUUCAGGAAUAAGGGGGUGCUAACUCUGUGCCAGCAGCAGCGGUAACACAGAGCCCCCAAGCGUUAACCGGAUUUACUGGGCGUAAAGAGCUAAAAGGUGGCUUAGUAAGUCAGAAGUUAAAGACCAGGGCUCAACCCUGGGAAAGCUUUUGAAACUACUAAGCUAGAGGAUGGAAGAGGCAAGUGGAAUUGCUGGUGUAGCGGUAGAAUGCGUUAAUAUCAGCAGGAACACCAAAGGCGAAGGCAGCUUGCUGGGACAUUCCUGACACUAAAUAGCGAAAGCGUGGGUAGCGAAUGG